RNAcentral lists this ribosomal RNA (479 nucleotides) under uncultured bacterium. RNAcentral's name for it is "partial 16S ribosomal RNA". It matches the Rfam family "Bacterial small subunit ribosomal RNA", at positions 28 to 523 of the family's 1533-position model. The record is from RNAcentral.
GACGAACGCUGGCGGCGUGCUUAACACAUGCAAGUCGAGCGAUGAAGCACCUUCGGGUGUGAAUUAGCGGCGAACGGGUGAGGAACACGUGAAGAAUCUGCCUUCAACUCUGGGAUAACUCCGGGAAACCGGGGCUAAUACCGGAUAUGAGCCUUGAUCGCAUGAUCGGGGCUGGAAAGUUUUUCGGUUGAAGAUGACGUCGCGGCCUAUCAGCUUGUUGGUGAGGUAAUGGCUCACCAAGGCGACGACGGGUAGCCGGCCUGAGAGGGCGACCGGCCAUACUAGGACUGAGACGCGGCCCAGACUCCUACGGGAGGCAGCAGUGGGGAAUAUUGGGCAAUGGAGUAAACUCUGACCCAGCGACGCCGCGUGAGGGAUGAAGGCCUUCGGGUUGUAAACCUCUUUCAGUAGGGAAGAAGCGAAAGUGACGGUACCUACAGAAGAAGCACCGGCUAACUAUGUGCCAGCCGCCGCCGUAA